UAAGAACAUGAGCUGCUCAGGUCCUGCAGCCCCCUGAGCUGGAGCUGGGUAUCCAGAUUCAAAUUGAGGAGAUCCGGCCUGAUGUGUGGACCACGCACAGGUUUCACCAAAAUGCUUCAUCCAUCAGCAGAGACAUUCAAAUUGCAGACCGCCCAACACAAGCUGAAGUUAACUGGGAAGAGAGAACCAAAACUGAGAAAAAUCCUCCCCUAAGAUUGGCCCGCAGGGCCAAACAAGUUCAUGUUCCCAGGUCCAGGAAGCUACUCCUAUCCCGAUUGAUGGAAACUCCCUUGCUCAACCCCUUAUGUCAAAAUAUGUUGGCCAAUGCUACAGCCCAGCCUGCUCCCCUCGCUCUGUGGUUUUAUCCUUUAAAUGUGCUGCCCAGUGUCCCUUCAGGGUCGUAGCUCCCGAGUCGGUUCUGCGGCCCUGAUCAAUUAGGAGCAGCUUGGUUACAAUAAAUGUUUGUCAUCUGCAUUGACCUGGUGUUUGAGUUAUGUUGGGUUAA
This is a long non-coding RNA of Meriones unguiculatus (Mongolian gerbil), 505 nucleotides long. RefSeq lists it as uncharacterized. The record is from RefSeq and is a predicted model, not a curated record. The transcript has 3 exons. Lineage: Eukaryota; Metazoa; Chordata; Mammalia; Rodentia; Muridae.